UCCAGAGAUCUGCACUGCUCUGUGCAGUACAGAUUGUGUGGGCACACAGCAGCAUGCUGAAGAGGACCUGCAAGGAUCAUCUGGUGGGAAGGAUUUUAAAAGAUGCUAAUCUCCCGCAUGGCAGUGAUUCAAAGCAUCAAGCUGGCUUCCAGCAGAUUAUCAGCAAGACAGAAAGACACUGCAAAAUUUGGAAAAUUAAAUGAAAAAGCUAUGGAUAAACACAUUCAUUUAAAGAAGAAGACCUGACAUUUAAUAUUUAAAGAGGUAGAUGAGCUAAUGUACGAGAUAUUUUUGUAUGUCAAACUGUUGCAGUUAAUUCAUAAUAUUACCGAUGAACCUGUC
Molecule: long non-coding RNA, 342 nt
Organism: Hemicordylus capensis (graceful crag lizard)
Lineage: Eukaryota; Metazoa; Chordata; Lepidosauria; Squamata; Cordylidae
Exons: 3
Source: RefSeq, a predicted model, not a curated record